This 254-nucleotide ribosomal RNA is filed under the name uncultured bacterium. RNAcentral describes it as "partial 16S ribosomal RNA". It matches the Rfam family "Bacterial small subunit ribosomal RNA", at positions 524 to 776 of the family's 1533-position model. The record is from RNAcentral.
UACGUAGGGUCCGAGCGUUGUCCGGAAUUACUGGGCGUAAAGAGCUCGUAGGUGGUUUGUCACGUUGUUCGUGAAAACCCACAGCUUAACUGUGGGCGUGCGGGCGAUACGGGCAGACUAGAGUACUGCAGGGGAGACUGGAAUUCCUGGUGUAGCGGUGGAAUGCGCAGAUAUCAGGAGGAACACCGAUGGCGAAGGCAGAUCUCUGGGCCGAUACUGACGCUGAGGAGCGAAAGCGUGGGGGAGCGAACAGG